CACGUCAGCGCGCUUUGCUUACGUGGACACAAAUUGCGCCUACGAGGACGCAAUUUUCUAACACAUCAGCAAAACGCGCUGACGUGG
Molecule: non-coding RNA, 87 nt
Organism: Gossypium hirsutum (cotton)
Lineage: Eukaryota; Viridiplantae; Streptophyta; Magnoliopsida; Malvales; Malvaceae
Source: Rfam